Molecule: long non-coding RNA, 487 nt
Organism: Dicentrarchus labrax (European seabass)
Lineage: Eukaryota; Metazoa; Chordata; Actinopteri; Moronidae
Exons: 2
Source: RefSeq, a predicted model, not a curated record
AUCGUCUUAUCGAACAUGCAGCCCUGUUGACAAACUACUGUUUUCCAUAAACGCUCCAGGAUAUCAUUAGCAUCAUCCCUAACGGGCGGCCGAGUGUAAAAAUCAAACGCCCCUAUCGCCUCUGACAAAGCUAACGCUAGCAGCCCGGGCAGAGCAGAUCGCAGACCAGCAAGGCCAGUCGGGCCGGCUGGGAGAAGCAGUGGUGGGCUGAGGCGACAAAAGACCACCUGUAACCACAAAACCUAAUGCAUACGCCGGGCCACGUAACGUGUGCGUUACUCACUCAGUGUCUACGGACCUGUGCUGCUGCCCUGUGACAGUUCACCUCAGGAAUUAAAGUGUCCUAACAUGUCCUGUCAAGCCCUGUCUUGCCUUGUUUAGUUUAUUCUUGUCCUGUCAUGUUCUAUUGUAACCUAUCAAGCCCUGUCUUGUUUAGUCCUGUCGUGUCUUGUCUUAGUGUAAAUUAAUAAAUCAUUAUGUACCGUUA